CACUAUCGUUAACUGAAUACAUAGGUUAACGAGGCGAACCGGGGGAACUGAAACAUCUAAGUACCCCGAGGAAAAGAAAUCAACCGAGAUUCCCCCAGUAGCGGCGAGCGAACGGGGAGCAGCCCAGAGUCUGAAUCAGCUUGUGUGUUAGUGGAACGGUCUGGAAAGUCCGACGGUACAGGGUGAUAGUCCCGUACACCAAAAUGCACAGGYUGUGAACUCGAAGAGUAGGGCGGGACACGUGGUAUCCUGUCUGAAUAUGGGGGGACCAUCCUCCAAGGCUAAAUACUCCUGACUGACCGAUAGUGAACCAGUACCGUGAGGGAAAGGCGAAAAGAACCCCGGCGAGGGGAGUGAAAAAGAACCUGAAACCGUGUACGUACAAGCAGUGGGAGCACCUUCGGGUGUGACUGCGUACCUUUUGUAUAAUGGGUCAGCGACUUAUAUUCUGUAGCAAGGUUAACCGUAUAGGGGAGCCGCAGGGAAACCGAGUCUUAACUGGGCGUUAAGUUGCAGGGUAUAGACCCGAAACCCGGUGAUCUAGCCAUGGGCAGGUUGAAGGUUGGGUAACACUAACUGGAGGACCGAACCGACUAAUGUUGAAAAAUUAGCGGAUGACUUGUGGCUGGGGGUGAAAGGCCAAUCAAACCGGGAGAUAGCUGGUUCUCCCCGAAAGCUAUUUAGGUAGCGCCUCGUGAACUCAUCUUCGGGGGUAGAGCACUGUUUCGGCUAGGGGGUCAUCCCGACUUACCAACCCGAUGCAAACUACGAAUACCGAAGAAUGUUAUCACGGGAGACACACGGCGGGUGCUAACGUCCGUCGUGAAGAGGGAAACAACCCAGACCGCCAGCUAAGGUCCCAAAGUCAUGGUUAAGUGGGAAACGAUGUGGGAAGGCACAGACAGCCAGGAUGUUGGCUUAGAAGCAGCCAUCAUUUAAAGAAAGCGUAAUAGCUCACUGGUCGAGUCGGCCUGCGCGGAAGAUGUAACGGGGCUAAACCAUGCACCGAAGCUGCGGCAGCGACACUAUGUGUUGUUGGGUAGGGGAGCGUUCUGUAAGCCUGCGAAGGUGUGCUGUGAGGCAUGCUGGAGGUAUCAGAAGUGCGAAUGCUGACAUAAGUAACGAUAAAGCGGGUGAAAAGCCCGCUCGCCGGAAGACCAAGGGUUCCUGUCCAACGUUAAUCGGGGCAGGGUGAGUCGACCCCUAAGGCGAGGCCGAAAGGCGUAGUCGAUGGGAAACAGGUUAAUAUUCCUGUACUUGGUGUUACUGCGAAGGGGGGACGGAGAAGGCUAUGUUAGCCGGGCGACGGUUGUCCCGGUUUAAGCAUGUAGGCUGGUURUCCAGGCAAAUCCGGAUAAYCAAGGCUGAGGUGUGAUGACGAGGCACUACGGUGCUGAAGUAACAAAUGCCCUGCUUCCAGGAAAAGCCUCUAAGCAUCAGGUAACAUCAAAUCGUACCCCAAACCGACACAGGUGGUCAGGUAGAGAAUACCAAGGCGCUUGAGAGAACUCGGGUGAAGGAACUAGGCAAAAUGGUGCCGUAACUUCGGGAGAAGGCACGCUGGUGUGUAGGUGAAGYCCCUGCGGRUGGAGCUGAGACCAGUCGAAGAUACCAGCUGGCUGCAACUGUUUAUUAAAAACACAGCACUGUGCAAACACGAAAGUGGACGUAUACGGUGUGACGCCUGCCCGGUGCCGGAAGGUUAAUUGAUGGGGUUAUCCGUAAGGAGAAGCUCUUGAUCGAAGCCCCGGUAAACGGCGGCCGUAACUAUAACGGUCCUAAGGUAGCGAAAUUCCUUGUCGGGUAAGUUCCGACCUGCACGAAUGGCGUAAUGAUGGCCAGGCUGUCUCCACCCGAGACUCAGUGAAAUUGAACUCGCUGUGAAGAUGCAGUGUACCCGCGGCAAGACGGAAAGACCCCGUGAACCUUUACUAUAGCUUGACACUGAACAUUGAGCCUUGAUGUGUAGGAUAGGUGGGAGGCUUUGAAGCGUGGACGCCAGUCUGCGUGGAGCCAACCUUGAAAUACCACCCUUUAAUGUUUGAUGUUCUAACGUUGGCCCCUUACCGGGGUUGCGGACAGUGUCUGGUGGGUAGUUUGACUGGGGCGGUCUCCUCCCAAAGCGUAACGGAGGAGCACGAAGGUUAGCUAAUCCUGGUCGGACAUCAGGAGGUUAGUGCAAUGGCAUAAGCUAGCUUGACUGCGAGCGUGACGGCGCGAGCAGGUGCGAAAGCAGGUCAUAGUUCACUGGUGUUCGGGUUGUCAUGCCAAUGGCACUGCCCGGUAGCUAAAUGCGGAAGAGAUAAGUGCUGAAAGCAUCUAAGCACGAAACUUGCCCCGAGAUGAGUUCUCCCUGAGACUUUAAGUCUCCUGAAGGAACGUUGAAGACGACGACGUUGAUAGGCCGGGUGUGUAAGCGCAGCGAUGCGUUGAGCUAACCGGUACUAAUGAACCGUGAGGCUUAACCUUACAACGCCGAAG
This 2481-nucleotide ribosomal RNA is filed under the name Klebsiella pneumoniae. RNAcentral's name for it is "partial 23S ribosomal RNA". It matches the Rfam family "Bacterial large subunit ribosomal RNA". The record is from RNAcentral. Lineage: Bacteria; Pseudomonadati; Pseudomonadota; Gammaproteobacteria; Enterobacterales; Enterobacteriaceae.